CCUACGGGAGGCAGCAGUGGGGAAUAUUGCACAAUGGGGGAAACCCUGAUGCAGCGACGCCGCGUGAGUGAAGAAGUAUCUCGGUACGUAAAGCUCUAUCAGCAGGGAAGAAAAUGACGGUACCUGACUAAGAAGCUACGUCUAACUACGUGACAGCAGCGGCGGUAAUACGGAGGGGGCAAGCGUUAUCCGGAUUUACUGGGUGUAAAGGGAGCGUAGACGGCAGCACAAGUCUGUCGUGAAAUUCCGGGGCUUAACCCCGGAACUGCUUUGGAAACUGUGCGGCUGGAGUGCAGGAGGGGUAAGCGGAAUUCGUGGUGUAGCGGUGAAAUGCGUAGAUAUUAGGAGGAACACCGAUGGCGAAGGCAGCUUACUGGACUGUAACUGACGUUGAGGCUCGAAAGUGUGGGGAGCAAACAGGAUUAGAUACCCUUGUAGUC
RNAcentral lists this ribosomal RNA (440 nucleotides) under uncultured bacterium. Its description in RNAcentral is "partial 16S ribosomal RNA". It matches the Rfam family "Bacterial small subunit ribosomal RNA", at positions 338 to 795 of the family's 1533-position model. The record is from RNAcentral.